Molecule: unclassified non-coding RNA, 278 nt
Filed under: Hevea brasiliensis (rubber tree)
Lineage: Eukaryota; Viridiplantae; Streptophyta; Magnoliopsida; Malpighiales; Euphorbiaceae
Source: RNAcentral
CUGGUGAGCCUUGAGCUUGAGGCGUGCCUUUAAUAACUAUGACACAACCCAAGUCUCAACACCCCUCCACCCAGCCACCUAGUCUCACCUGAAACUCAAUAGAGUUUCAUUCCUCUUCAAAUAAUAGCUGCUUAUUUAUUUAAUUUUUGUUUAAAAAGUCUUAAUUCCAUAAUUUUAGAAAAAUCUCAUCAAGAAGGAAUGUUAGAAUUGAUGAAAGUUUUCUUAAUCAUAGAGAUAAGAUUCCUCCUUGAUUUAUGGGAUGAGAUUUCUCCUUAAUU